RNAcentral lists this ribosomal RNA (752 nucleotides) under uncultured bacterium. Its description in RNAcentral is "bacterial SSU rRNA". It matches the Rfam family "Bacterial small subunit ribosomal RNA", at positions 63 to 826 of the family's 1533-position model. The record is from RNAcentral.
CGAGGGGCAUCGGAUUGAAGCUUGCUUCAAUGCCGGCGACCGGCGCACGGGUGCGUAACGCGUAUGUACCUACCUAUAACAGGGGCAUAACACUGAGAAAUUGGUACUAAUUCCCCAUAAUGAGGCAUCUCGAAAACUCCGGUGGUUAUAGAUGGACAUGCGUUGUAUUAGCUAGUUGGUGAGGUAACGGCUCACCAAGGCAACGAUACAUAGGGGGACUGAGAGGUUAACCCCCACACUGGUACUGAGACACGGACCAGACUCCUACGGGAGGCAGCAGUGAGGAAUAUUGGUCAAUGGACGCAAGUCUGAACCAGCCAUGCCGCGUGCAGGAAGACGGCUUAUGAGUUGUAAACUGCUUUUGUACGAGGGUAACUCACCUACGUGUAGGUGACUGAAAGUAUCGUACGAAUAAGGAUCGGCUAACUCCGUGCCAGCAGCCGCGGUAAUACGGAGGAUUCAAGCGUUAUCCGGAUUUAUUGGGUUUAAAGGGUGCGUAGGCGGUUUGAUAAGUUAGAGGUGAAAUCCCGGGGCUUAACUCCGGAACUGCCUCUAAUACUGUUAGACUAGAGAGUAGUUGCGGUAGGCGGAAUGUAUGGUGUAGCGGUGAAAUGCUUAGAGAUCAUACAGAACACCGAUUGCGAAGGCAGCUUACCAAACUAUAUCUGACGUUGAGGCACGAAAGCGUGAGGAGCAAACAGGAUUAGAUACCCUGGUAGUCCACGCAGUAAACGAUGAUAACUCGUUGUCGG